Molecule: transfer RNA, 79 nt
Filed under: Prorocentrum minimum
Lineage: Eukaryota; Dinophyceae; Prorocentrales; Prorocentraceae
Description: partial Selenocysteine transfer RNA
Source: RNAcentral
CGGCGACUGGUCGCGCGGCUGGUCUUUGUCGAAGCAAAGCUGGUGCUGCCAGCACGAGCAGCUCGGCUGCUUCGAUUCG